AUAUACGCGAAACUUUUCACCGAUGAAAAUAUAUUAUACAGAUGUUCGAUAUCGUUAAACUAUAUAAUAUAUAUAUAUAUAUGAAUGUCCUUCUCGGAGAAAAUCUUGCCGAGUAGAGAGGACGGGGAUCGGGAACCGAGAAUUCAAGAUGUUGCAAUAAAUUGUACACAUAAGGAAGACACACGCUAUUGCUGAAGCGAUGACCGCGGUAAAAAGUCGUUUGACCACGCGCAUGCAACUGCAGCGAAACGUGUGUAUGUUCCUCCAAUAAAUGGAUCGUAUCCAAUCGAAUAGUUGUACACAAAACAGUAUUAAAUAAUGAACAAACGAGUGCUGUGGUGGCGUAUCAUCUGUGUAGAUCAUUGAUGCCCAACCCGUCGCACACCAAGGCCUCAGAAGUGGACCGCGGCCAAUUAUUAAGUUCAAACAAAAUACAUGAAAAAUACAAUUAUAUCCAAGAUAUUAAAAUUUAAUUUUUUUCCUAUUAUUUGUAAUUUAUUGCUUUUUUAUAAGUAUUAUUAGUGGCCUACAUUAAUGCAACAUUUUAUUCACAAUAGUAUAGAUUUUUAAAAUAUACCUUUUAUACCCAUGUUUGAUUAUGAUAAAAUUAUUAUUUUGAUUUUGUAUCACGCUCGAGACUAUUCAACGUUCCUAUAAUACGUAUUAUACAGUGCCA
Rhopalosiphum padi (bird cherry-oat aphid) is the source of this 676-nucleotide long non-coding RNA. RefSeq lists it as uncharacterized. The record is from RefSeq and is a predicted model, not a curated record. NCBI's taxonomy places the organism in Eukaryota, Metazoa, Arthropoda, Insecta, Hemiptera, Aphididae. The transcript has 3 exons.